This 468-nucleotide ribosomal RNA is filed under the name uncultured bacterium. RNAcentral describes it as "bacterial SSU rRNA". It matches the Rfam family "Bacterial small subunit ribosomal RNA", at positions 329 to 793 of the family's 1533-position model. The record is from RNAcentral.
GACCAGACUCCUACGGGAGGCAGCAGUGAGGAAUAUUGGUCAAUGGGCGGAAGCCUGAACCAGCCAAGUCGCGUGAGGGAAGAAGGCCCUGCGGGUCGCAGACCUCUUUGGACGGGGAGCAAGGCCGCCGACGUGUCGGCGGAAGGAGAGUACCCGUAGAACAAGCAUCGGCUAACUCCGUGCCAGCAGCCGCGGUAAUACGUAGGGGGCAAGCGUUAUCCGGAUUUACUGGGUGUAAAGGGAGCGUAGACGGCAGUGCAAGUCUGAAGUGAAAGCCCCGGGCUUAACCCGGGAACUGCUUUGGAAACUGUACGGCUGGAGUGCUGGAGAGGUAAGCGGAAUUCCUAGUGUAGCGGUGAAAUGCGUAGAUAUUAGGAGGAACACCAGUGGCGAAGGCGGCUUACUGGACUGUAACUGACACUGAGGCACGAAAGCGUGGGGAGCAAACAGGAUUAGAUACCCCUGUAC